RNAcentral lists this ribosomal RNA (253 nucleotides) under uncultured bacterium. RNAcentral describes it as "partial 16S ribosomal RNA". It matches the Rfam family "Bacterial small subunit ribosomal RNA", at positions 524 to 776 of the family's 1533-position model. The record is from RNAcentral.
CACGUAGGGCGCAAGCGUUGUCCGGAAUUAUUGGGCGUAAAGAGCUCGUAGGCGGUCUGUUGCGUCCGCUGUGAAAACCCGGGGCUUAACCCUGGGCUGGCAGUGGAUACGGACAGACUAGAGGUAGGUAGGGGAGAAUGGAAUUCCCGGUGUAGCGGUGAAAUGCGCAGAUAUCAGGAGGAACACCCGUGGCGAAAGCGGCUCUCUGGGACGGUACUGACGCUGAGACGCGAAAGCGUGGGGAGCAAACAGG